CUCCAUCCUCUGGCAAGUCACGACAACGGACGCCGCUCCACCCCUCGCGACAGACUCCACGUGGCACAUCCCGGUGAUAGCCACGAUUCCACUCCACUACCCUUCGCAACAAACUCCUCCUGACUGUGGGCAGCCCACUGUCGGAUGGUUACAAAUUUCGCUAUCAGUCUGUUGCUCCCUUCGCCUAUAAAAGGGGGACCCC
RNAcentral lists this long non-coding RNA (202 nucleotides) under Elaeis guineensis (African oil palm). RNAcentral's name for it is "long non-coding RNA (EGUI_LNC067125)". The record is from RNAcentral. Lineage: Eukaryota; Viridiplantae; Streptophyta; Magnoliopsida; Arecales; Arecaceae.